Molecule: ribosomal RNA, 550 nt
Filed under: uncultured fungus
Lineage: Eukaryota; Fungi
Description: eukaryotic LSU rRNA
Rfam family: 5.8S ribosomal RNA (bases 186-339)
Source: RNAcentral
AAGUCGUAACAAGGUCUCCGUUGGUGAACCAGCGGAGGGAUCAUUACUGAGUACUACACUCUCUACCCUUUGUGAACUAUUAUACCUGUUGCUUCGGCGGCGCCCGCAAGGGUGCCCGCCGGUCUCAUCAGAAUCUCUGUUUUCGAACCCGACGAUACUUCUGAGUGUUCUUAGCGAACUGUCAAAACUUUUAACAACGGAUCUCUUGGCUCCAGCAUCGAUGAAGAACGCAGCGAAACGCGAUAUGUAAUGUGAAUUGCAGAAUUCAGUGAAUCAUCGAAUCUUUGAACGCACAUGGCGCCUUCCAGUAUCCUGGGAGGCAUGCCUGUCCGAGCGUCGUUUCAACCCUCGAGCCCCUGUGGCCCGGCGUUGGGGAUCUGCCACGGCAGGCCCCUAAAACCAGUGGCGGACCCGAAGGGCCCUCUCCUUUGCGCAGUAGCAUUCGCCUCGCAUCGGGAGUCCUCGGCGUCCUGCCUCUAAACCCCCACAAGCCCGCUUCGGCGGCACUAAGGUUGACCUCGGAUCAGGUAGGAAUACCCGCUGAACUUAA